Molecule: long non-coding RNA, 953 nt
Filed under: Pan troglodytes (chimpanzee)
Lineage: Eukaryota; Metazoa; Chordata; Mammalia; Primates; Hominidae
Description: lincRNA
Source: RNAcentral
CGGCGCAGCGCGCGGCGUCAGUCUUGGCUGGGAGACCUGUACUCCGUACUCCGUACUCCGUAGUCGCAGCGGCGCGGUCUUCGGCAGUCUAGUCAUCCACCGCCAUCCUGGGCCCCACAUGUUGCCUGACCAUUCCUGAGCCCAGGUGGGAGCGGUGGCUGAGGUGACGGUCUCAAAGUGGAAGAGCUUACUGUCACAGCAACUCCUUUGCAAGAUGCCCCGGUAAAUCACGUUGCAGAGACCCCAACUCUGCCUUCCUGGAACUAGGCCUGCGUUUUCUCUGAACCAUUAUUUCAUGGGGAAAAUGAAAUCUACUUCAUGUGCCUGGUCUACUUACUCCUUCAGAAGUGAUUUCUGAGCCGCCAGGAAUAGUUGCUGAACACCCCAGGAUGCUGAGGUCCCUCCUUGAGUCUCAUGUUCAAGCAGUCUUUGUCCAUGAAACUGGGAGGUGACCGUGUUAGCUGCCAGUUCCUGACAGCCACCUCUCACCAGUGGCUUCACUCUGUGUCCCUGACCCAGCACAUGGCACAAGAGUGCCUGCCAUCCCUCAGUGUUUCUACAGCAGCAAUCCCGAGAUGCUGGAGCUAGAGGGGACCUGACCUGAGAGAAGAUACCUUCAGUGGCUGCCAGGCUGUUCCUUGGAACCUGUGCAGGGAUGAGGCCUGCCUGUGUUAAUACACCUAGUGAGGAGUGGAGCUGAAUUUGAAUGCAAGCCUUGGCACCUUAAUUGAGCAAGUUUGAAACCUCGCUUGUUGCCCUUCUGGAAGGAGUCAGGAAUUUCCAGUUCUGGGCCUGGGGCUGUGGGUCUGACAGACAGACCUCUGGCCCUAGGUUUGGGUGCCAGGUUCUCUGCUUCCAGAAUGAGAAGCUUUGCUGUGCACCAGGACCUGGGCCCUUCUGGUAUCUCCUGAAUGAAAAACAAGGGAUAUUUAAUAAAUAUGGAUUUAAAUAUG